Molecule: ribosomal RNA, 587 nt
Filed under: uncultured bacterium
Lineage: Bacteria
Description: bacterial SSU rRNA
Rfam family: Bacterial small subunit ribosomal RNA
Source: RNAcentral
CCUACGGGAGGCAGCAGUAGGGAAUCUUCCGCAAUGGACGAAAGUCUGACGGAGCAACGCCGCGUGAACGAUGAAGGCCUUCGGGUCGUAAAGUUCUGUUGUUAGGGAAGAACAAGUGCUAGUUGAAUAAGCUGGCACCUUGACGGUACCUAACCAGAAAGCCACGGCUAACUACGUGCCAGCAGCCGCGGUAAUACGUAGGUGGCAAGCGUUGUCCGGAAUUAUUGGGCGUAAAGCGCGCGCAGGCGGUUUCUUAAGUCUGAUGUGAAAGCCCCCGGCUCAACCGGGGAGGGUCAUUGGAAACUGGGAAACUUGAGUGCAGAAGAGGAAAGUGGAAUUCCAAGUGUAGCGGUGAAAUGCGUAGAGAUUUGGAGGAACACCAGUGGCGAAGGCGACUUUCUGGUCUGUAACUGACGCUGAGGCGCGAAAGCGUGGGGAGCAAACAGGAUUAGAUACCCUGGUAGUCCACGCUGUAAACGAUGAGUGCUAAGUGUUAGAGGGUUUCCGCCUUUAGUGCUGAAGUUAACGCAUUAAGCACUCCGCCUGGGGAGUACGGUCGCAAGACUGAAACUCAAAUGAAUUGACGG